RNAcentral lists this transfer RNA (72 nucleotides) under Cliona patera. RNAcentral's name for it is "tRNA-Met". It matches the Rfam family "tRNA". Rfam says of the family: Transfer RNA (tRNA) molecules are approximately 80 nucleotides in length. Their secondary structure includes four short double-helical elements and three loops (D, anti-codon, and T loops). The record is from RNAcentral. Lineage: Eukaryota; Metazoa; Porifera; Demospongiae; Clionaida; Clionaidae.
GGGCUGAUAGCUUAAAGGUAAAGUGUGUUGCUCAUAACAAUGAAGAAGUUGGUUCAAGUCCAGCUCAGUCUA